This 212-nucleotide long non-coding RNA is filed under the name Lathyrus oleraceus (garden pea). RNAcentral's name for it is "Pisum sativum (pea) long non-coding RNA (PSAT_LNC002448)". Lineage: Eukaryota; Viridiplantae; Streptophyta; Magnoliopsida; Fabales; Fabaceae. The record is from RNAcentral.
GAAUGAGGUAAAUGGGCUACAAUCCUCAAGCAGUGCAAUCGUAAACGAAGAAGACAUAGGAAAACAAUUGUACUCAAAUAUCAGUCACAAACAUGAAUCGACCAGAUACCUUAUUCCCAAACCGUCCCCAAUACCUUUUGAUUUUUGUUACCUAUUGCAAACAAACAAUGAUGCACAAAAUAGAUGUGGAUCGAACAGAAAAGAAACGAAAU